RNAcentral lists this ribosomal RNA (481 nucleotides) under uncultured bacterium. RNAcentral's name for it is "partial 16S ribosomal RNA". It matches the Rfam family "Bacterial small subunit ribosomal RNA", at positions 28 to 523 of the family's 1533-position model. The record is from RNAcentral.
GACGAACGCUGGCGGCGUGCUUAACACAUGCAAGUCGAACGGUGAAGGGGAGCUUGCUCCCUGGAUCAGUGGCGAACGGGUGAGUAACACGUGGGCAACCUGCCCCUCACUUCGGGAUAACCAUUCGAAAGGAUGGCUAAUACCGGAUAUGAGCCCUGGCGACCUCUCUGGGGUUGGAAAGUUGUUCGGGGAGGGAUGGGCCCGCGGCCUAUCAGCUUGUUGGUGAGGUAACGGCUCCCCAAGGCGAAGACGGGUAGCCGGCAUGAGAGGGCGACCGGCCACACUGGGACUGAGACACGGCCCAGACUCCUACGGGAGGCAGCAGUGGGGAAUAUUGCACAAUGGGCGCAAGCCUGAUGCAGCGACGCCGCGUGAGGGAUGAAGGCCUUCGGGUUGUAAACCUCUUUCAGUAGGGACGAAGCGCAAGUGACGGUACCUAAAGAAGAAGCACCGGCUAACUACGUGCCAGCCGCCGCAGUAA